UCCUCGGUGGCUCAGUGGUAAAGAAUCUGCCUGAAAUGCAGGGGACACGGGUUCAACUCCUGGUCCAGGAA
This 71-nucleotide transfer RNA is filed under the name Bos taurus (domestic cattle). It matches the Rfam family "tRNA". From Rfam's summary of the family: Transfer RNA (tRNA) molecules are approximately 80 nucleotides in length. Their secondary structure includes four short double-helical elements and three loops (D, anti-codon, and T loops). RNAcentral also lists the same sequence under 1 other name. Lineage: Eukaryota; Metazoa; Chordata; Mammalia; Artiodactyla; Bovidae. The record is from Rfam by way of RNAcentral.